CUCAUCUGGAUGCUGUCGAAGAGACAGAGCUGGACACCGGUUAAAAGUGGCAUUCAAAGCUAUGCCUUUCCCUCUCAGCACUGCUUUAGCUGCAUCCCACAGCAUUUUUUCAGCUUUAAAAUAUUCUAACAACCCACAUUCCAAGAUUCGCAUCUAUCCCAAGGUUCCCUGGCUCCUAAAUGGCUUAUGCAAAUCUUGAAGGAGUCUCUACUUUCUGAGGAGGAAAACGGCUCUUUAAUCUGGACUCCAGAAUGU
Molecule: long non-coding RNA, 255 nt
Organism: Symphalangus syndactylus (siamang)
Lineage: Eukaryota; Metazoa; Chordata; Mammalia; Primates; Hylobatidae
Source: RefSeq, a predicted model, not a curated record